RNA transcript from Zea mays, 1096 nucleotides. It is a transcript of the gene named lysine-rich arabinogalactan protein 19-like, with no coding region annotated. The transcript is spliced from 5 exons. The record is from RefSeq and is a predicted model, not a curated record. NCBI's taxonomy places the organism in Eukaryota, Viridiplantae, Streptophyta, Magnoliopsida, Poales, Poaceae.
CCCCGCUCCGCGCAGCCACACCAACCGGCGCGCGGUCUUCCCCUCCGCGCAGCCACUCCAACCGCCAAGCCCCCACCGCCAAGCCCUCACCUCGCUCGAUCCACCAUGCCUCCGCCUCGCAAGAUCCGCCAUGCCAGCGUCUCGGCUUCCCCUCCGUGCAGCCGCCUGACCCGCCGCCCGACCCGCCGCAAAACAGCCAUGCCCCCGCCUCGGCUAGCCCUUCGCGCAGAUCCGCAGCCGCCCGACCCGCCAGGACCCGCCUCUCCUUCCCCUCGGCGCUCAAACAACCAAGCCGAGGAAAUGCACCCACAAAUGUGGAAGCUCCGCGCAGCCACACGAACUGCCAUGCAACCACCUCGCACGAUCUGCCAUGCCCCCGCCUCGCACGAUCCACCAUGCCUUCGCCUCGGCUUCUCCUCCGUGCAACCGCCUGACCCGUCAGGACCCCGCCUCUCCUUCCCCUCCGCGCUCAAGCAACCAAUCCGAGAAAAUGCACCCACAAAUUUGGAAGCCGCGGCAAUGGCGCCCGAUUUGGCUAUGGCGUUCAUGAUUUGGAAACCGCACAAUCUACGUUGCCGAUUUGGAAAGCACGAUCUUGGUACUGCAAUCACAACAACUAUCCCCCAAAUGUCGCGCCCACCAACGACCAGCUGACUUAGGAACGUCCAAGCAGGAGCCUACUCCUCAUUUGCCCCUGUUCAGAGGACCCCCAGAUUUGGCAAUGCAACAUUCGGAACAAUCGCGCUCGAUCUGGCAAUUGUGUGCAUGAUCUUCGUCGCCGAUUUGGAAAGCGCACGAUCUACGACGCUGAUUUGGAAAGUGCCUUGCCAAACGAUUCCAGCACAAAUCCCCCAAAUCGUGCACCCACCAUCGUUAAAAAGGUCACAAUUGCCAUCCUGCUCCAACCUUCCUACAACGACGGAAAUCCUGCGCUCACACUCCUCCAGUGUAAGGUGCUCCUGUAAGGAAAAAAGUGAAUAAAAGUGACAUAAGAUUAUUCUUACCCAAGGUGCAGGAAAGACUCGAGCUUCAACAAGGGUCAGAUUAAGACUGGAGCACACCCUGCCGAUCAGAGCGUCUUGCCAAAUACAACCAG